This 254-nucleotide ribosomal RNA is filed under the name uncultured bacterium. RNAcentral describes it as "partial 16S ribosomal RNA". It matches the Rfam family "Bacterial small subunit ribosomal RNA", at positions 524 to 777 of the family's 1533-position model. The record is from RNAcentral.
UACGUAGGGCGCAAGCGUUGUCCGGAAUUAUUGGGCGUAAAGAGCUCGUAGGCGGCUUGUCGCGUCGAAUGUGAAAACUUGGGGCUCAACCCUAAGCCUGCAUUCGAUACGGGCAGGCUAGAGUUCGGUAGGGGAGACUGGAAUUCCUGGUGUAGCGGUGAAAUGCGCAGAUAUCAGGAGGAACACCGGUGGCGAAGGCGGGUCUCUGGGCCGAUACUGACGCUGAGGAGCGAAAGCGUGGGGAGCGAACAGGA